This 100-nucleotide transfer RNA is filed under the name Diaporthe ampelina. It matches the Rfam family "tRNA". From Rfam's summary of the family: Transfer RNA (tRNA) molecules are approximately 80 nucleotides in length. Their secondary structure includes four short double-helical elements and three loops (D, anti-codon, and T loops). Further hydrogen bonds mediate the characteristic L-shaped molecular structure. tRNAs have two regions of fundamental functional importance: the anti-codon, which is responsible for specific mRNA codon recognition, and the 3' end, to which the tRNAs corresponding amino acid is attached (by aminoacyl-tRNA synthetases). tRNAs cope with the degeneracy of the genetic code in two manners: having more than one tRNA (with a specific anti-codon) for a particular amino acid; and 'wobble' base-pairing, i.e. permitting non-standard base-pairing at the 3rd anti-codon position. The record is from Rfam by way of RNAcentral. Lineage: Eukaryota; Fungi; Ascomycota; Sordariomycetes; Diaporthales; Diaporthaceae.
GGUCUGUUGGCCCAAUGGCAAGGCGUCUGACUACGACUCAUGAAAUACUCAUGAGAAUUUCGAAAUCAGGAGAUUGCAGGUUCGACCCCUGCACAGAUCA